GUGCUCACUUCAGCAGCACAUAUACUAGAAUUGGAACAAUAUGGAGAAAAUUAGCAUGCCCCUGCGCAAGGAAGACAUGCAAAUUUAUGAAGAUUUUCCAUAAUUUU
This 107-nucleotide small nuclear RNA is filed under the name Chinchilla lanigera (long-tailed chinchilla). The record is from RNAcentral. Lineage: Eukaryota; Metazoa; Chordata; Mammalia; Rodentia; Chinchillidae.